RNAcentral lists this ribosomal RNA (429 nucleotides) under uncultured bacterium. RNAcentral describes it as "bacterial SSU rRNA". It matches the Rfam family "Bacterial small subunit ribosomal RNA", at positions 355 to 776 of the family's 1533-position model. The record is from RNAcentral.
UUAGGAAUAUUCGUCAAUGGGGGAAACCCUGAACGAGCAAUGCCGCGUGAGUGAUGACGGUCUUAUAGAUUGUAAAACUCUGUUGUAAAGGAAGAAUUCUUAGUAGAGGGAAUGCUAUUAAGUUGACGGUACUUUACGAGAAAGCCCCGGCUAACUACGUGCCAGCAGCCGCGGUAAUACGUAGGGGGCGAGCGUUAUCCGGAUUUAUUGGGCGUAAAGGGUGUGUAGGCGGUUUAUUAAGUCUAAGAUGAAAGCCCGAGGCUUAACCUCGGAUUGUUUUAGAAACUGGUAGACUUGAGUGUAGUAGAGGCAAGUGGAAUUUCUAGUGUAGCGGUUAAAUGCGUAGAUAUUAGAAGGAACACCAGUGGCGAAGGCGACUUGCUGGGCUAUAACUGACGCUGAGACACGAAAGCGUGGGGAGCAAAUAGG